UAGUCCACGCCGUAAACGAUGAGUACUAGUUAUUGGAGGUAUUGACUCCUUCAGUGACGCAGCUAACGCAUUAAGUACUCCGCCUGGGAGGUACGGUCGCAAGACUAAAACUCAAAGGAAUUGACGGGGGCCCGCACAAGCGGUGGAUUAUGUGGUUUAAUUCGAAGCAACGCGCAGAACCUUACCAAGGCUUGAAAUCCUAGGAAUCCGAUGUAAUGGUCGGAGUGCUCGCAAGAGAAUCUAGUGACAGGUGCUGCAUGGCUGUCGUCAGCUCGUGUUGUGAAAUGUUGGGUUAAGUCUCGCAACGAGCGCAACCCCUAUCUUUAGUUGCCAGCAUUAAGUUGGGCACUCUAGAGAGACUGCCCGGGUUAACCGGGAGGAAGGUGGGGAUGACGUCAAGUCCUCAUGGCCCUUAUGCCUUGGGCUACACACGUAAUACAAUGGUGCAUACAAAGAGAAGCGACCCGGCGACGGUAAGCAAAUACCCAAAAACGUAGACAUCUCAGUCCGGAUUGGU
Molecule: ribosomal RNA, 517 nt
Filed under: uncultured bacterium
Lineage: Bacteria
Description: bacterial SSU rRNA
Rfam family: Bacterial small subunit ribosomal RNA
Source: RNAcentral